GUCUACAGCCAUGCCACCCUGAACAAACCCGAUCUCGUCUGAUCUCGGAAGCUAAGCAAGGUUGGGCCUGGUUAGACUUGGAUGGGAGACCACCUAGGAAGACCAGGUGCUGUAGGCA
Molecule: ribosomal RNA, 118 nt
Filed under: Pteropus alecto (black flying fox)
Lineage: Eukaryota; Metazoa; Chordata; Mammalia; Chiroptera; Pteropodidae
Source: RNAcentral